AGAGUUGUAUCCUGGCUCAGAUUGAACGCUGGCGGCAUGCCUUACACAUGCAAGUCGAACGGUAACAGGUCUUCGGAUGCUGACGAGUGGCGAACGGGUGAGUAAUACAUCGGAACGUGCCCGAUCGUGGGGGAUAACGAAGCGAAAGCUUUGCUAAUACCGCAUAAGAUCUAAGGAUGAAAGCAGGGGACCGCAAGGCCUUGCGCGAACGGAGCGGCCGAUGGCAGAUUAGGUAGUUGGUGGGAUAAAAGCUUACCAAGCCGACGAUCUGUAGCUGGUCUGAGAGGACGACCAGCCACACUGGGACUGAGACACGGCCCAGACUCCUACGGGAGGCAGCAGUGGGGAAUUUUGGACAAUGGGCGAAAGCCUGAUCCAGCCAUGCCGCGUGCAGGAUGAAGGCCCUCGGGUUGUAAACUGCUUUUGUACGGAACGAAAAGACUCUGGUUAAUACCUGGGGUCCAUGACGGUACCGUAAGAAUAAGCACCGGCUAACUACGUGCCAGCAGCCGCGGUAAUACGUAGGGUGCAAGCGUUAAUCGGAAUUACUGGGCGUAAAGCGUGCGCAGGCGGUUAUAUAAGACAGAUGUGAAAUC
RNAcentral lists this ribosomal RNA (596 nucleotides) under uncultured beta proteobacterium. RNAcentral's name for it is "bacterial SSU rRNA". It matches the Rfam family "Bacterial small subunit ribosomal RNA", at positions 8 to 601 of the family's 1533-position model. The record is from RNAcentral. Lineage: Bacteria; Pseudomonadati; Pseudomonadota; Betaproteobacteria.